GCAAACUUGGUCAUUUAGAGGAAGUAAAAGUCGUAACAAGGUUUCCGUAGGUGAACCUGCGGAAGGAUCAUUAUUGAACAAUCAAACCCUGUGGACAGUGUUGUAGCUGGCUCCUUUACGGAGCAUGUGCACGCCUGCCUGCAAUUUGUUCUCCAUCCACCUGUGCACUCUUUGUAGGCUCACGCAGUGCUGGCGACUAGAAGAGGGGUUAGCCCCUUUUCGAAAGCUGCAUUUUGUGGUCUAUGUCUUUCAUAUACACGAUGAAUGUCUUAGAAUGUCUUGUUAUAUUCAAACACAAAUAUAACUUUCAGCAACGGAUCUCUUGGUUCUCGCAUCGAUGAAGAACGCAGC
Molecule: unclassified non-coding RNA, 351 nt
Filed under: uncultured fungus
Lineage: Eukaryota; Fungi
Description: partial contains small subunit ribosomal RNA, internal transcribed spacer 1, and 5.8S ribosomal RNA
Rfam family: Eukaryotic small subunit ribosomal RNA (bases 1-73)
Source: RNAcentral